Camellia sinensis is the source of this 448-nucleotide non-coding RNA. NCBI's taxonomy places the organism in Eukaryota, Viridiplantae, Streptophyta, Magnoliopsida, Ericales, Theaceae. The record is from RefSeq and is a predicted model, not a curated record.
AUGGUUUUCAGGUAACAAGAUUCGUCUCUGGAAUAAGGGUGUUGAUUCCAAAAGCUUCCAUCCCAAAUAUCGCUCUCAAGAAAUGCGAAUAAGACUAAGCAAUGGAGAGCCCGAGAGACCAUUGAUAGUCCAUGUUGGACGACUAGGAGUUGAGAAGAGUUUGGAUUUACUCAAAAGUGUCAUGGACUAGAUACCGGAGGCACGAAUUGCUUUUAUUGGAGAUGGACCAUACAGGGAGGAUCUCGAAAAGCUGUUCUCCGGCAUGCCUGCCAUAUUCACAGGGAUGUUAGGAGGUGAAGAGCUCUCUCAAGCAUACGCCAGCGGAGAUGUUUUCAUCAUGCCUUCAGAAUCAGAGACGCUCGGACACAUAAUGUCAUUUUCAAAAAACAGGUAAAAAGGGAAUAAGUUAUUCAAAGCUUGCGAAUUUAUCACCUAUAGUCGGCCUCUG